GAGGGAGUUUCUGGUUUUGCAUGAAGCAGCAGAACAUGAUGAAGCAUUUUUCCCCCAUCUAAAGAUCCAGUCGUGCUCCAGUUUGCAGAGGGCAAGGGGCUGGUUGCAGGUGGUGCUGGGAGGAUGGAGUAGAGAUGGGGUUUCACCGUGUUAACCAGGAAUGUCUCGAUCUCCUGACCUCGUGAUCCACCCGCCUCAGCCUCCCAAAGUGUUGGGAUUACAGGCGUGAGCUACCACGCCCGGCCCUAGGCUCCACAACUCUAAGAAGCUUUGUGGGGGCUUAUUUGGCCUCCCCAGGAUGGACUGGAGCAUCAGUAGUGCCCGGGUUUAUCACAGGACAGAUACUCAAGACACUCUUAUCACCAUUAGGUGGACUUGGAGGAGCAAAAAACAAGUGCAGUGGCUCCUCAGCAGAGACACUCCUGAAUGUAUAGACAUGGGAACCACCUUCAGCAUCAAAAAAGGAAACGUUCUGCAUGCCCAUAUCCAGAAAAAUCCCCACUCGCUGUAACUUGCGGUCUACGAAGAGGAAAGUCAGCGGCACCGUGCUGGCAGAGAGGCGGCUUCCAUCCCUCAAACUCACAGUCCAGAAUCCACGCUCUGUGGUCAGAUGGAUCCUCCCUUUGCGGUGAACAGAUUCUCUGCAGACUCCCAGGUCCCAUUCUGUGCUUGUUCCCACGUCCACCUCCCAGUAGUGGCGGCCACAGGUAAAGCGAGGGGAGCCCAGGAUGCAAAUGGACACGUCAAAUCUCUCGGCAAGGUCUUGCCGAUUCUGUGUGAUGCACCCACUUCGGACGCUCCUGAGGUCGUCAGAAAUGAGGAGGAAGUUGUUGGCUGUGUCGGCAUCCAAGGUCAUAUCCACUGUGAAAAGGAAAAAAAGUUGAUCAGAAAAUGGACAGAAGCCAACCCCAUGCCUCUCCUCUACUUCAAAGGCCCAAAUAUCUCUUGACUUUGGUUUCUUUAAUUCUCUUCUUCCCCCAAAAUCAAAACUUUUCAUGAGGCAACUUCCCUGACUAGUUCAAAUUCUCAUAGGUAUGCUUUGUGGCAAUACCCAACUCUUAUUCACAGUAGCAAUUAUUUUACUUUAUGUCACGUGUUUGCUUCAUUGGACUUUUCUUCAUUUAGAGUGGAGGGUCUCUGAAGGCAGACACCAUGACCCCCUUUCUACCACCUUGAUGCAUGAAAAAAUGAAUGAUAAUUAAGACAAUGCAAAUGGUCGAUGUUAAAUAUGUUUCUGCUUCCAUCUUGUAUUGCUCAACUCAGUAUAUAGAGCAUGAUUCCAGGCCUUUGUUUUCCAUGUUUGUAAGCAAAUUAAUUGUGCAUGGUUCUGACAGCAGGUAGGGUAUCUCUGCAGCUGACAAUGUGAUGACAGAGGUGCCGGUCCUGGACAUUAGGAGGCUCCAAGGCCAGGAGGAAGAGGGGGGCCUUAGAUGAAAGAAUGUUUUCCAUCCUACAUGGGAGGUGAAACCUUAAGCAAAACAAUGGUAAAUUUUGGAGUGAAGAGAAAGGUAUUUGAAAGUUGUUUGUUGGCUGAGCGCGGUGGCUCACACCUGUAAUCCCAGCACUUUGGGAGGCCGAGACGGGUGGAUCACGAGGUCAGGAGAUCGAGACCAUCCUGGCUAACACGUGAAACCCU
Homo sapiens (human) is the source of this 1636-nucleotide long non-coding RNA. Ensembl annotates it as RFPL1 antisense RNA 1. Its record names the gene RFPL1S. NCBI's taxonomy places the organism in Eukaryota, Metazoa, Chordata, Mammalia, Primates, Hominidae. The record is from Ensembl.